Molecule: ribosomal RNA, 384 nt
Filed under: Planctomycetota bacterium
Lineage: Bacteria; Pseudomonadati; Planctomycetota
Description: bacterial SSU rRNA
Rfam family: Bacterial small subunit ribosomal RNA
Source: RNAcentral
GGAGGAAGGUGGGGACGACGUCAAGUCAUCAUGGCCUUUAUGCCCAGGGCUUCACACGUGCUACAAUGGCGGCAACAGAGCGACGCGAUACCGUGAGGUGGAGCAAAUCGCAAAAAUGUCGCCCCAGUUCGGAUUGUAGGCUGGCAACUCGCCUACAUGAAGUCGGAAUCGCUAGUAAUCGCGUAUCAGCAAUGACGCGGUGAAUGUGUUCCUGAGCCUUGUACACACCGCCCGUCAAGUGAUGGGAGUUGGGAGUACCCGAAGUCAGUUUGCUAACCCAGCUUGCUGGGGUGCGGCUGCCGACGGUAAGCCUGAUGACUGGCACUAAGUCGUAACAAGGUAGCCGUAGGGGAACCUGCGGCUGGAUCACCUCCUUUCUAGGGA